Molecule: long non-coding RNA, 2455 nt
Filed under: Mus musculus (house mouse)
Lineage: Eukaryota; Metazoa; Chordata; Mammalia; Rodentia; Muridae
Description: long non-coding RNA chr17:86175574-86178029
Source: RNAcentral
AAGUGCAGUCCCUAGGAGCCACAUCUGCUAUAAGAAGAGAUCCCAAGUGUUAGCAUUUGCAUGGCCUCUGGGGCCCAAGUCACUUAGGCAGCGUCUGGAUUAUCUCAACAGCACACUAAUUGGUUCCCCCUUGCCUGAACUUUGUCAAAAAAAAAAAAAAAAUCCCUCAGGGGGAAAAAAAAAACAGUUCCUUCCCGAAAGACAGCGCAAGCAGGCCUUGUGAACCUUCCUGCCCUGUUGCCUACUGCUCUGCACCUUGCUUAUGAGUCUGCAGUCAUAGGGCCCACAGGUCGCCUUACACAGACUCACCACUGCGUACCUGACUGGAGAGACGCAAACAUUUAUUCACACGUUACGUUCCCAGGAAAGCCGUUCCUGGCGGUCUUAUCCAAAACAUCAGUCUCUUUCAAGAUUUGUGACUUUGCUUUAUUAUUUAGUUAUUGUUUUCAGACUGAGCUUCAGUGUGUAGCUAGGGCUCAUUACCAGCCCUCAGCCCUCUGGCUUCAACCUUCCAAGUGCUGGGAUUACGGUCACCACACCUGGCUUUCCCCUGUGUCUCCCACACCCGGUGUUUUCUUACUCAUCCUGUCUAACAUUAAGUCAGAGCUUCUAUAACUACAGAAGCUUUGAUUCCUUUCUGUCUUCUCAGCAACCCAACCAGAGCCUAGCGUAUUGUUGAACGGAUGAGAGAAUGUCAACAGAGAGAUGCAUCUUGUUUUGGGACCUGCCAUGACACAAUACAGUGGGAGAGAUUGGUGCUUUGAUCAGACAGAAGGUGUGUGUGGCACUGUUCCUGCUCCUAGGGAGUAUGGAAACUUGAUGCAUGUUUCAGAAGACUAGAAUGGCAAGCAUUUGAGUUUAUUUCCUUUUUCUUAUCCUGUUUUAUUAUUUGAGAAUUUCACACAUACCUAUAAUGUGUCUUUUCUUUUAAUCAAGUUCAUCUCGCAUUCCCUCACCUCUAAGUAGUCUCCCACCGAGCCCACUCCUUUCCUCUCCCAAUUUCACGUAUCUGUUUAUAAACUCUCCGAGUCCACCUAGUGCUGCCUGUGUGCGCUUGGAUACAGAACCAUCUAUGAGAGGAUAGGUCACCUCGAAGUGGCUGCAUCCCCGAGGAAAACUGACUUUCCCUCUCCAGCAGUCAUCAAUCACCUCAGCUAGGGGUGGGACUUCACGAGGCCCUCCCCAUCCAUGCCAGGCUCUUGCCAUAGGGACUACGAGCUCACGGGCGCUGCCGCCCUGGCAUGUCUGCCAAGCACUGUUUUGUUGUAAGCAUCCAUCCUGUUCGCCUCUUAAGCUAGUUCCUUCUUCCCCUUCUUUGUUUUGUGCUGGGGGAGGGUACAGCUGGUUCAUCUAGAGCUGAGCACUCCUCAGGCCAGUGUUAUCUGUCCCAUUGUGGCUCUCUGCAUCUACUGAUCUCUGCUUCCUGCAAAAGGAAGGUUCUCCGAUGAGGGUUCAGAGAUGCACCCAUUUAUGGGUUUGUACAAACAAUCCCUUUGUACAGUUGAAAUUGGGGAGGAAGAAGGAAAGACUAUUUUAUGGAAGUCUUUGAAGAACCUGACAGGAGAAUGCUCUGUUAUUUCCACAGGGCAAUAUGCACUCUACCAAAGAAAGACUUUUUAUGAAGUCUGAAGUUACGGAAAGUGGGAGUUGUGCACCCUCUGGGUACCCAGGGCCCAAAAGGAAACAGAAAGGCCACUUGUCCUUGUUUACAGAAUUUAAAAUCAAGUUUAAAUUCUUACUGGGGUGUUAGCUACAGACAAAACAAAACAGCCUUACAGUUGGCAGUGAGAAGACAGGAAAUUUGAGACCCCAGGCCCUGAACUCACAGAGCUUAUAGAAGCUUGUACCUGCCCAGCUUCGGGGGCUUCAUGCCAGCUAAGAGAACUCCAGAGUGGAACUGCUCUAUUUUACAUAAAUAAAAGCUUCACUCCGAAAAACGUGUUUCUCUGCGAGUUCCUCUGGGUAUAGAUGGGCUUGUUAAGUAAUUACAAUCUAUUAUAAUGUUAAUCAGCAGGGCUGCACCUGGUUGGAAUUUAGUUUUCUGACAGAAACCAUGUGAAGUGGCCAAAAGCCUUUGCUGGGCUCGAGAGAACCAAGAGGACAGAGCAGCUGUGUCACUGGAAUUCACCUACAUACAAACAAAAUAGAAACUCCAGAGGGAACAGGUUUGGACUCAGACCUGCCCAGAGGAGAAACUCAAGCCUGCCACCAAACCCCAGUGCUGCAGUGUCCUCCAGCCUGCCCGUCUUCCCAUCCUCUCCUUGAAGUCUUCUGGAGGUCACCUUUAAGUCAGCUGUGGUGCUGCUUGCCUGUCACCCCAGCCGAAAUGGACCAGAGGAGAGGAGGGCACUCCCUGUGCUCGUAUCUGGGAAGCAUUUAAGGCCAAAAAUGUGGCCAACACAAGAGGGGUUGGAAACAAUAUAGUGGGUGAAUAUAGAAUUGAUUAUUGGGGGGU